CCUACGGGGGGCAGCAGUAGGGAAUCUUCCACAAUGGGCGCAAGCCUGAUGGAGCAACGCCGCGUGGGUGAAGAAGGUCUUCGGAUCGUAAAACACUGUUGUUGGAGAAGAAAGUGCGUGAGAGUAACUGUUCACGUUUCGACGGUAUCUAACCAGAAAGCAACGGCUAACUACGUGCCAGCAGCCGCGGUAAUACGGAGGGGGCAAGCGUUAUCCGGAUUUAUUGGGCGUAAAGGGCACGCAGGCGGUCUUUUAAGUCUGAUGUGAAAGCCUUGGGCUUAACCGGAGUAGUGCAUUGGAAACUGGGAGACUUGAGUGCAGAAGAGGGGAGUAGAACUCCAUGUGUAGCGGUGAAAGGCGUAGAUAUAUGGAGGAAUACCAGUGGCGAAGGCGGCUCUCUGGUCUGUAACUGACGCUGAGGUUCGAAAGCGUGGGGAGCAAACAGGAUUAGAUACCCCGGUAGUC
RNAcentral lists this ribosomal RNA (465 nucleotides) under uncultured bacterium. RNAcentral's name for it is "partial 16S ribosomal RNA". It matches the Rfam family "Bacterial small subunit ribosomal RNA", at positions 338 to 795 of the family's 1533-position model. The record is from RNAcentral.